AUUCCAAACCAAGAUACAGAAAACCUGAGAGAAAGGAAAUGAAUUUAAAUGGAUGAAAAUAGGGCGGGAGAGUUAGAGUUUCUCUGUCUGCCAGUGGGGGAAAGUAGGCAGAAGACUCUGCUUCCAAGGGAGAGACUUAUACUUUAACCUUGGAGCAUAAGAAGAGGAAACUGAGGCUGAGAGGGAGGAAGUGUCUUGCCCAAGGUCCCCCAGGCAACAAGCAAUGGAACCAGGAUUUGAAACCAGGACUUUUCAUCUUAAUCUUCCUCCUGUGGAUAUAUAAGAUCAUUAUAACAUGAGGAAUUUGGAAGAGCCAACGUACUAAGGUAUUGAACUGAUCCUUACCAGGAUGAAAGCUCCUUUCUAGUGAAUGUCACUAGCCUGUGAUAGACAGAGAGCAAAGGCAGAGAUCCUUGUCUCUUUUCUUCACUGUGGUGCUCCCAGCACUGAGAACAAUGCUUGGCAAAUGGGUGGAAUAUUUUCCCAGAUGGGGAGAGAGACUUAUGCAAGCCAUUAAGGAGGCUGCUCUGCCUGCGUGUCGAAGGAGGACAUCUUCAGUGACUGAAGUUUUCACUGAGCAGUUGGCAGUCGACGCACAUGGAGGACACACAUGAGGCCUAGGAAGGCAGCCGUCAACAGAACUGUCUUAUUGUCUGUCCUCAUGGAAUUGACUUUCCAGUGGAGAAGGCAAAGCCCUGUCCUAACUAUGGGAGUCACAGAGAUGCAUAAAAUAAAUUCCCUCAUCUCCGGA
This 751-nucleotide long non-coding RNA is filed under the name Homo sapiens (human). RNAcentral's name for it is "HSALNT0362499". Lineage: Eukaryota; Metazoa; Chordata; Mammalia; Primates; Hominidae. The record is from RNAcentral.